This 549-nucleotide ribosomal RNA is filed under the name Pediococcus pentosaceus. RNAcentral describes it as "bacterial SSU rRNA". It matches the Rfam family "Bacterial small subunit ribosomal RNA", at positions 65 to 597 of the family's 1533-position model. The record is from RNAcentral. Lineage: Bacteria; Bacillati; Bacillota; Bacilli; Lactobacillales; Lactobacillaceae.
UACUUGUACUGAUUGAGAUUUUAACACGAAGUGAGUGGCGAACGGGUGAGUAACACGUGGGUAACCUGCCCAGAAGUAGGGGAUAACACCUGGAAACAGAUGCUAAUACCGUAUAACAGAGAAAACCGCAUGGUUUUCUUUUAAAAGAUGGCUCUGCUAUCACUUCUGGAUGGACCCGCGGCGUAUUAGCUAGUUGGUGAGGUAAAGGCUCACCAAGGCAGUGAUACGUAGCCGACCUGAGAGGGUAAUCGGCCACAUUGGGACUGAGACACGGCCCAGACUCCUACGGGAGGCAGCAGUAGGGAAUCUUCCACAAUGGACGCAAGUCUGAUGGAGCAACGCCGCGUGAGUGAAGAAGGGUUUCGGCUCGUAAAGCUCUGUUGUUAAAGAAGAACGUGGGUAAGAGUAACUGUUUACCCAGUGACGGUAUUUAACCAGAAAGCCACGGCUAACUACGUGCCAGCAGCCGCGGUAAUACGUAGGUGGCAAGCGUUAUCCGGAUUUAUUGGGCGUAAAGCGAGCGCAGGCGGUCUUUUAAGUCUAAUGUGA